AUAGAGAAACAUCCAAGAGCGAAUGAACGAAUGCCUGAUACUGAAUGUUGCCUUUCACUGAAACUCUCGAAAGCAUCUGAAUUGCUCACAAGGUGCACCUGUGUAAUGAUCAUGCUGUUUAAUCAGCUUCUUGAUAUGCCACACCUGUUUGGUGGAUGGAUGAUCUUGGCAGAGUUAAAAUGCUCACAAACAGGACCUGAGCCCUAGGACCAUGCCCCAGGACUACCUGACAUGAUGACUCCUUGCUGUCCCCAGUCCACCUGGCCGUGCUGCUGCUCCAGUUUCAACUGUUCUGCCUUAUUAUUAUUCGACCAUGCUGGUCAUUUAUGAACAUUUGAACAUCUUGGCCAUGUUCUGUUAUAAUCUCCACCCAGCACAGCCAGAAGAGGACUGGCCACCCCACAUAUGCUCUCUCUAAUUCUCUCUUUCUUUCUCUCUCUCGGAGGACCUGAGCCCUAGGACCAUGCCCCAGGACUACCUGACAUGAUGACUCCUUGCUGUCCCCAGUCCACCUGGCCGUGCUGCUGCUCCAGUUUCACCUGUUCUGCCUUAUUAUUAUACGACCAUGCUGGUCAUUUAUGAACAUUUGAACAUCUUGGCCAUGUUCUGUUAUAAUCUCCACCCAGCACAGCCAGAAGAGGACUGGCCACCCCACAUAGCCUGGUUCCUCUCUAGGUUUCUUCCUAGGUUUUGGCCUUUCUAGGGAGUUUUUCCUAGCCACCGUGCUUCUACACCUGCAUUGCUUGCUGUUUGGGGUUUUAGGCUGGGUUUCUGUACAGCACUUUGAGAUAUCAGCUGAUGUACGAAGGGCUAUAUAAAUACAUUUGAUUUGAUUUGAUUUUGAUUUGAAUUAUAAUCCACAUAAUUCACAUUUCUUGUUGCUACAGGAUUAUUUUCAUGCUGUAUCAAACUGGCUCAAAUUGAGAUCCUACAUCCAUUUGUGUAUUUAUAAAUGAUUGAUACAGUGCCUUCAGAAAGUAUUCCCACCCCUUGACUUUUUCAACAUUUUGUUGUGUUACAGCCUGAAUUUAAAAUGGAUUAAAUUGAG
This is a long non-coding RNA of Oncorhynchus tshawytscha (Chinook salmon), 1048 nucleotides long. Lineage: Eukaryota; Metazoa; Chordata; Actinopteri; Salmoniformes; Salmonidae. The record is from Ensembl.